GAUGAACGCUGGCGGCGUGCCUAACACAUGCAAGUCGAGCGAUUCUCCUCGGAGAAGAGCGGCGGACGGGUGAGUAACGCGUGGGUAACCUGCCCUGUACACACGGAUAACAUACCGAAAGGUAUGCUAAUACGAGAUAAUAUGCUUUUAUCGCAUGGUAGAAGUAUCAAAGCUCCGGCGGUACAGGAUGGACCCGCGUCUGAUUAGCUAGUUGGUAAGGUAACGGCUUACCAAGGCGACGAUCAGUAGCCGACCUGAGAGGGUGAUCGGCCACAUUGGAACUGAGACACGGUCCAAACUCCUACGGGAGGCAGCAGUGGGGAAUAUUGCACAAUGGGCGAAAGCCUGAUGCAGCAACGCCGCGUGAGCGAUGAAGGCCUUCGGGUCGUAAAGCUCUGUCCUCAAGGAAGAUAAUGACGGUACUUGAGGAGGAAGCCCCGGCUAACUACGUG
RNAcentral lists this ribosomal RNA (452 nucleotides) under uncultured bacterium. RNAcentral's name for it is "bacterial SSU rRNA". It matches the Rfam family "Bacterial small subunit ribosomal RNA", at positions 28 to 507 of the family's 1533-position model. The record is from RNAcentral.